GAUGAACGCUGGCGGCGUGCCUAAUACAUGCAAGUCGAGCGAACAGACGAGGAGCUUGCUCCUCUGACGUUAGCGGCGGACGGGUGAGUAACACGUGGAUAACCUACCUAUAAGACUGGGAUAACUUCGGGAAACCGGAGCUAAUACCGGAUAAUAUAUUGAACCGCAUGGUUCAAUAGUGAAAGACGGUUUUGCUGUCACUUAUAGAUGGAUCCGCGCCGCAUUAGCUAGUUGGUAAGGUAACGGCUUACCAAGGCAACGAUGCGUAGCCGACCUGAGAGUGGGAUGGCCCACAGUGGCACUGACACGGGCUCGAGCCCCCUCCGGGAGGCACCAGGGGGGUUUCUUCCGCAAGGGGCAAAGCCCUGCCGGAGCCCCGCCGCGUGAUUGAGGAAGGUCUUCGGAUCUAAAACCUUUUUUAUUGGGGAAAAACAAUUGUGAAAGUACCUAUCCCCGUCUGCAGGUUACCUAAUAAAAAACCCACGGCUAACCACGUC
Molecule: ribosomal RNA, 497 nt
Filed under: uncultured bacterium
Lineage: Bacteria
Description: partial 16S ribosomal RNA
Rfam family: Bacterial small subunit ribosomal RNA
Source: RNAcentral